This 54-nucleotide transfer RNA is filed under the name Calisoga longitarsis. Its description in RNAcentral is "tRNA-Trp". Lineage: Eukaryota; Metazoa; Arthropoda; Arachnida; Araneae; Nemesiidae. The record is from RNAcentral.
UAUUGAGUAAGAUAUAUAAUCUAUAAGCUUUCAAGGUUUGUAAAGGAACGGGGA